UGCCUAAAAUUAGUCCCAUGUAUCCUGUU
Molecule: non-coding RNA, 29 nt
Filed under: Homo sapiens (human)
Lineage: Eukaryota; Metazoa; Chordata; Mammalia; Primates; Hominidae
Source: RNAcentral